Long non-coding RNA from Cyprinus carpio carpio, 361 nucleotides. The record is from Ensembl. Lineage: Eukaryota; Metazoa; Chordata; Actinopteri; Cypriniformes; Cyprinidae.
AAAAAAUCCAUGCAUGGAAGUCGCAAACAAACCAUGCUACAGUUCCAAAAACCAAAUCAAUUAAUAGCUGAUCUGUAGAAGUUACACUAGAAAGUCUUGCAUUCACCAUUCAGAAUUCGUCAUCUGUCAAUUUUAAGAAGUGCUGUUAUGAAGUAAAACCUGAAGUAAAACCUGAACUCUACCUGAAACCACUCUGUCUGGUUUUUUCAUGCACAGAUCAACAACGCCAUCUCCUGGACAGAAGGCUUUGGAUUCGAUGCAGAAUAAGCAAGAAUUAAAAUUGAGAACCAUACAGAAGGAGUAGUUGGUCUAAUUCUCAUGUUCAGGGUGACCUUACUCUCACGACGAGCCGAUAGAGAGG